CCUACGGGAGGCAGCAGUGGGGAAUAUUGCACAAUGGGGGAAACCCUGAUGCAGCGACGCCGCGUGAGUGAAGAAGUAUUUCGGUAUGUAAAGCUCUAUCAGCAGGGAAGAACGUGACGGUACCUGAAUAAGAAGCCCCGGCUAACUACGUGCCAGCAGCCGCGGUAAUACGUAGGGGGCAAGCGUUAUCCGGAUUUACUGGGUGUAAAGGGAGCGUAGACGGCAUCAGAAGUCUGGAGUGAAAUGCCGGGGCUUAACCCCGGAACUGCUUUGGAAACUGUGCAGCUAGAGUGCAGGAGAGGUAAGUGGAAUUCCUAGUGUAGCGGUGAAAUGCGUAGAUAUUAGGAGGAACACCAGUGGCGAAGGCGGCUUACUGGACUGUAACUGACGUUGAGGCUCGAAAGCGUGGGGAGCAAACAGGAUUAGAUACCCGUGUAGUC
RNAcentral lists this ribosomal RNA (440 nucleotides) under uncultured bacterium. Its description in RNAcentral is "partial 16S ribosomal RNA". It matches the Rfam family "Bacterial small subunit ribosomal RNA", at positions 338 to 795 of the family's 1533-position model. The record is from RNAcentral.